Cicer arietinum (chickpea) is the source of this 515-nucleotide long non-coding RNA. RefSeq lists it as uncharacterized. The record is from RefSeq and is a predicted model, not a curated record. NCBI's taxonomy places the organism in Eukaryota, Viridiplantae, Streptophyta, Magnoliopsida, Fabales, Fabaceae.
UCUAUUUUUUUUAAACUACAUAAUUGCACAACCAUAUACAUUGCCAACAUAUUCGUACCAUAUAACACCAACACUGCUAGGAAAAUGACAAAACAUAAACUAAUAUCAACUUCGAUAUAAAGUAACCAAAGAGAAUCCAGUGAUCACAUUGAUGGGUAAACGGGUACAUUCUGGAUUCUGCAGUGUAAAUAAAGCCUUUUAUUAAUAUUUAUGUGAUGAAAACAGCCUUUGUAGGAAGACUGACGCUGUAUGGGCCUUCCCCACUCCUUCAUGUCACGUCCACUCUUGACAACGGCUGUACAAAGCCAAACUCCUUUUUCAGUUUUUAUGUAACCCUUCACCAUCCUACUUUCAACUUCUAUCCCUUUUAUUUUAGGUACAGUACUUGAAGGCAAAAAUAAAAGCCUAAUGUUUCCUACAUAAGUGUAAUCCCCCUCACCUCACAGUUCUCUCUUUUGUUUCUACUUGCUACUUUUUUUAUAUAAAAUAUAUUAUUAUUGUGCCACCAAGAUCCA